Molecule: ribosomal RNA, 256 nt
Filed under: uncultured bacterium
Lineage: Bacteria
Description: partial 16S ribosomal RNA
Rfam family: Bacterial small subunit ribosomal RNA
Source: RNAcentral
UACGUAGGGGUGCAAGCGUUGUCCGGAAUUAUUGGGCGUAAAGAGCUCGUAGGCGGUUUGUUGCGUCGGCUGUGAAAUCCCGAGGCUCAACCUCGGGUCUGCAGUCGAUACGAGCAAACUAGAGUGUUGCAGGGGAGACUGGAAUUCCUGGUGUAGCGGUGAAAUGCGCAGAUAUCAGGAGGAACACCGGUGGCGAAGGCGGGUCUCUGGGCAACAACUGACGCUGGAGGAGCGAAAGCCGUGGGGAGCGAACAGG